Molecule: non-coding RNA, 108 nt
Organism: Triticum aestivum (bread wheat)
Lineage: Eukaryota; Viridiplantae; Streptophyta; Magnoliopsida; Poales; Poaceae
Source: Rfam
UAGCUACUCUCUCCGCCCGAAAAUACUUGUCAUUGAAAUGGAUGUAUCUAGAUACAUCUAUUUUCAUUCAUUUUGAUGACAAGUAUUUUCGGACGGAGGGAGUGCUUU